This 929-nucleotide ribosomal RNA is filed under the name uncultured bacterium. Its description in RNAcentral is "bacterial SSU rRNA". It matches the Rfam family "Bacterial small subunit ribosomal RNA", at positions 8 to 935 of the family's 1533-position model. The record is from RNAcentral.
AGAGUUUGAUCAUGGCUCAGGAUGAACGCUAGCGGCAGGCUUAAUACAUGCAAGUCGAGGGACAGCACAGGUAGCAAUACUGAGUGGUAACCGGCAAACGGGUGCGGAACACGUACACAACCUUCCUUUAAGUGGGGGAUAGCCCAGAGAAAUUUGGAUUAAUACCCCGUAACACAGUGAGUUGGCAUCAACUUAUUGUUAUAGCUACGGCGCUUGAUGAUGGGUGUGCGGCUGAUUAGAUAGUUGGCGAGGUAACGGCUCACCAAGUCUACGAUCAGUAGCUGAUGUGAGAGCAUGAUCAGCCACACGGGCACUGAGACACGGGCCCGACUCCUACGGGAGGCAGCAGUAAGGAAUAUUGGUCAAUGGACGCAAGUCUGAACCAGCCAUGCCGCGUGAAGGAUUAAGGUCCUCUGGAUUGUAAACUUCUUUUAUUUGGGACGAAAAAGGGCCUUUCUAGGUCAACUGACGGUACCAGAUGAAUAAGCACCGGCUAACUCCGUGCCAGCAGCCGCGGUAAUACGGAGGGUGCAAGCGUUAUCCGGAUUCACUGGGUUUAAAGGGUGCGUAGGCGGGUAGGUAAGUCAGUGGUGAAAUCCUAGAGCUCAACUCUAGAACUGCCAUUGAUACUAUUUAUCUUGAAUAUUGUGGAGGUAAGCGGAAUAUGUCAUGUAGCGGUGAAAUGCUUAGAUAUGACAUAGAACACCUAUUGCGAAGGCAGCUUACUACGCAUAUAUUGACGCUGAGGCACGAAAGCGUGGGGAUCAAACAGGAUUAGAUACCCUGGUAGUCCACGCCCUAAACUAUGAUUACUCGACAUUUGUGAUACACUAUAAGUGUCUGAGCGAAAGCAUUAAGUAAUCCACCUGGGAAGUACGUCCGCAAGGAUGAAACUCAAAGGAAUUGGCGGGGGUCCGCACAAGCGGUGG